CACAACCACAGUGCCCUGUUGGCCAGGCCUGGGCUGAACUGCCUUAUGAGGCCUCCCAAGACCUGCUGGGCCAGACUCAUGGCCCUCCAGGCGCAGUGUGUGGAAGUGGGAAGAAUUUCCAGGGGGAGGAAGCUCGGAGACCAGGCCAGCGCGCUCUAAGGCCAAAGAGCAAGCGAGUCAGGCUCCAGUUCCGGGUAGACGGCGUUGCAGAGCCAGGGGAAGCCGAGCCACCGGGCAUGGAGCACCAGGCUGCCUGCCCAGCAGCGCAGCCGAGCUGGCACGCACUCCUCAAACCUCACAGCCCGCCGCAGGGCAGCUGCCUGGGCCUCUUGUGGCGUCAGGGGCUCCCACAGUGCCGAACUUGGUGAAGAGGGGCAGACUAAGACCUGAGGCUGAGUCACGUCUGUAAACACCGAAGGGGCCAAGGUCCAUGGAAAAUGUUUGAUUAAAAAAAACUAUUAUGGAUUUUAAAACUUUUUUUGCACCAAAAUAAACUCAUACUUUGAUUCAA
This is a long non-coding RNA of Tupaia belangeri chinensis (Chinese tree shrew), 511 nucleotides long. RefSeq lists it as uncharacterized. The transcript is spliced from 2 exons. The record is from RefSeq and is a predicted model, not a curated record. Lineage: Eukaryota; Metazoa; Chordata; Mammalia; Scandentia; Tupaiidae.